CAUUCUUCUCCUUCUGCUCGUGAGCUUUCUCUACUUCCAGGUCUGGAUGGAGGAGUAAGAUUGAGCCCCUGGUGACUUCGUGUUUAGUUUUUAACUUAACACUUCAAGCCACACCUGAGACUUGUAGCUCUCUUUGACUCGCUCCUCGAGAUUCCUUCAGGACGAUGGAUGACUGGUCCAGCUUGGGUCAGAGGGCCAACUCCAGUCCAGUUACAAAGGGUCAGAGACCUGGCUCAUGUAGUGAACAGCUAGAAGCCCAUCCCUGUGGGUGGGCGGUUGUGGGGAGAUGUGGGGAAUAUAGGGGUCUCAUCAAGUCCUAGGCAUUUGCCUCUAGAGGUAUCAUUUCAGGCAGUAGAUAGACUUUUGCAGGGGAGCAAGUAGGAAAGGAGGGGGACCAAAGGGAACAUAAUAAAUGAGCUGGUGUGCUCCCCAAACUCUAGUUGUCUUUAUCACCUGUUUUUCUUUCUUUUUUUUUCUUCUUCUUUUUAAAAUGAGAGUUAGUCUUUGAGUGAGACUUUCCCAGAAACUUAUAGGAGGAAACAACUGGAAAUGGCUGGCUAGGAUGUAAAACCUAGUGUAACAAGGUCUAUCCCCUUAGCAACUUUUUUUAAAAUACAAUACAAUAAUGUUAAUUAUCUGACAGCAUCUUCUGACUUAGAUUCAUCUACUGGUUUAAGCAAGGACAUGGAUUUAGAAUGCCCUGUGUACCCUCUUUUGUCCUGUCCUAUCCUCAAUGACCAAAGAAACACAUUUGAGGAUAGUUCGAGUGGGAUUUGAGGAGUCUCCUCAGAAAUAGUAACUGUUCCUUAAGGCUUUUGAAAGUAAUGUUUCUCCUGACCUCAUUUAUUAUAGGCUCAGCCAACCAUAUUAGGCGAAUCCCGGAGUUACCUGGGACUUUCUUUAAUCUCCUGGCCCUAGGUCUUUUCUACAUAAAACUUUAUUUUAUCUUUUCUUCUGUGACAUUUGCUUUGGCUAUUAUCUUGUCAAAGGUUUUUGAAAAAUGAGUGUAUUGCCCUGACUCAUUGUCAUGAGAAUAAAGAGAGAGAACUUCAAAGGCUGCAGUGGGUAUUAAGACAACGCCUUUUUUUUCCCCUCCCUGAAUCUAGGCUGGUGAUUCUUAAUCAAAAUGUUCUUUUUCAUGAUCUCCACCCAUGUGUCUCAAGUGCUUUUCAAACAAUUUAUUUUAGAAUCUUUGUGUUUUAUUUAGGUCUCUCUGGACAUCACACACUAAAUUUAGAGAGGCUCUCUUCAUGCCCUUCCCAGGGCAGUUUUCAUUCCUCUUCUCAAAUUUCCCCAACACAGUUCUCUCCAUUCCUUUAUUUAGUGUUGUUUUUCACUGGGAUUGUCCCUUAAGACUUAAGGAAAGUAAAGAAGUCAGUGGGUGUUUUGGCUUGUUGGCAAUUUUAGGCUGUAGAGGGUUCCCUGGAAGGUUUCUUCCCUAGGAAUAAAGACCCAGAUGUGAUAUCCAUUUAAUUUCUUCUUUUUAAAGCAUCUGGACUAGGCUUCCCUAAUUCCUUUUAUGAAUAUAUAGGGGAUAUCUUAGCAGAACAGAAAAAGAUGUAAUAAGAAAGAGGACAUAUGUUAGCUGUAAUCGUGGUAAUAUUAUAACUUAGCUGAUGGUCACCUUGGCCUUUCCUGGAGGCUCUUUCCAGUCAUUGCGGUCUGGCACCUGUCCUUGGGAUACAGUCAAAGAAGGAUCAGAAGUAGAGUCCCUACUGGGCAAAGGGAACAUAUCUGGUCUCUAACCUUGGGUCAAACUGAGGAAUUUGUGGGGAACUGUUUUAUAGUUGCUUUGCGAUGUGGAGCUAUGAAGCCUAUUGUUGACUGAAAGGCUAGGGCCGUAUUUGCCAAAAAUGGAAAAUACAUUACAAUUGCAAUAUAUUUUGAUAUCACAAUCAGGGAUGAUGUAACCAGAGGCCUAUGGGAGGCAGAAGCAAAUAUCUUUAGGUGGCCAGGGCAAUCUUGCAAGGGAAGGGAAUGUGUGGGAGGCACUAGAAAGCCAGAUUAGAGACUAAGUAGGACUAAGGAAGGGUCUCACAUGCAUGGAAUAAUCUCUUCCCAGAUGGCUGGUUACUUUCUGUCAUUGAGGUUGAGCUAGUUUUCCUGGCUUGAUCUGAGACAAGGGAGCUGCACUAUAAUGUGAAAGUGAUCAUGCAAAAUACCCAAAGUCUCCUUCCAAAAAUAGCACCUCAUGCCUCCUUAAGCCUCUUCCAUAUUCCUCUCCUUUUAUAUGUCCUUCCCUAAGUUAUAGAGGUACUCCCUUUUACCCAUCCUUAUAAAAUACUACUCCCAAGAAAAGGAUCUUAUAAACCUGAUGAUACUGAAGAGAAAAGCCUUGCCUCUCUCCUGCCUCCCACCUCAGGGCAUAUGUCAUUUAAUAGAAAGAGAAACUUGAGCUAGAAAACCAUGGAAUAUUAGAGCCUCCAUAUUUCAAGCUUUCUUUGGUGAACUGUCUUUUUCUAUUUUUCAUAUGCCAGUAUGGAAACAGCUGCCAUCUAGAGUUCUAGCUUUUUUUUAAAUUGGAAAUUAACUAACUUCUUCAGUCUACCUUUUUUAUCCCAUUAGAUUGUAACUGAACAGUUUAGUUAAAACAGACUACAAAGCUAGGCUUCUUUUCUGACCUGUCAAAUGCUGCUUUUACAGAGAAGCAAUGUUUCCACACAGCUGCCACCCUAAAGGUAAUAGGCAUGGACAGAAGAGAUCUACUCUCUCUAUGUCACAUGUAUCUGCUUAGUCAUGUGGGAGAGGACUGGUGUUUGCCUCACCUUGUGUGGUCAAUUCCAUCUUCCAAUGAACUUAUCUCCCAGUGACCUAGUACACUCUUCAUUUCUAAGUUGGGAAAUGUUAAUAGGGCAGUGCUGUUUCUAGGUAAAUACUGGAUAGUUCUCUGUUCUAAAAUCAGCUAUAUGGUUCUAAGUUAUAAAGCUGAUAGUACCAAAAAGGAGACAGGCAUCCAAGUUGGAAGGAGGCUGACUGAUGAUGAGAAUAAGAAAAGGAAAGUAGCUGGAUUUUCAUGGAAAUUUAAAGGAAUGAUAGAAUUCCCUGGUAGCUUAGUAAGGAAAAUAGACACCAGUGUUUCUCCUCUCUGGCUGUACUAGUGAAUCAUCUGAUACUUCUUGAGAUAUUUAUGCCCAAGGCUCCAAGCUCAGGGGGUCUGAUGUAAGUAGUCUGGGUAGAGGCUUGAGCAUCAGUAUUAGGCAAUAUAUUGCUGAGUUGAGAAACACUGGUCUAUGACCAAAAGAGUCUUCAGCUUUUUCAGUGUUUUCAGAAAUGCUCCUCAGGCUGAGGGAGAUAAGAUUGUCUUGGGCUACACAAAUCUGGACUCUGUCCCUCAAUGGAGAGAGUACUAGAAUCUGACUUUUUGUAUUAGCAUCAUUGAUACUAAGUCAGAUGGUUCAUGGACGAUCAUUGGAAAAACACUAGAAUGGAAAGGGAAGGGAGUGUUUCCUGUCUAUGCACCUACUGUUAAUAAUGAACAUGUUUUUAUUUCAACUUCACAAUGAUUCCGUGAGGAAAGCAAAAUUAUCCCAUUUCAUAGUUAGGGAACCUCCAGUUGCCCAAGAGCACAGAGCUAGUAAAUAGCAAAGUCCAACAUGAUACAGUGUUUAGCUGAAGUGCUAAGGACAAGGAAAGUUCUAACCACAGAUUCCUUUUUCUAGGCUUUUCCAUGCUUCCCUUCAGCACACUAGCUGAGCCCUAAGGGUCAUUAGCUCUUGACUCAAAGAGGAUGGGUGCGAUGACCUGGCUGAGAAUCAGAGAGAAGCGCAGCUGUUGACAUAGCCCUGCCCAGGCAGGGAGAGGUUCUGGGGAGGAGGUGCUAGGGUCGGAAAGCUGUCCCAGUGCUACAAAUCCUAAGCAACUAUAAGCUCGGUCAAUCUUGAUUGUAAGAAAAAGCCAAUAGGUUUAGAGAAAAACAUAAAGUUUCAUUGCUCCAAUUUGUGUGGGUUUUUCAGCUGUCUGUCAAAUGUCAAUCCUUGUCCCAAUAAGAAAGUACAUUCUUUACCAGUAAAGAGGAUUUGAAAACUCCACAGACACCCAUUUGUGCCUACAAAUACAAAGGGAAGAAGGGUGAUGUUUGUCAGAGCUGUGAAGGUUUGUGAAUGAACUCAGGGUAGUGAUCUUGUGUUGGCUGCAUCUGGCUUUGGAGGGAGAGAAGCCCAUUUCCCAUUAGUCAUUUCUUCUCCCUCCCUCAUCAGAAGGGACCAUCUCCAGGGUUCUAUACAUUUUAGCCUAAAACAAAUACAGCUCAGAGCUGGUUCAAGGUUCUCUGUAUCCCAGAUUCUAUUGCUUGCCUGAUGCUGCCAAGUGGAUGCCUCUGAGUCUGUUAAAGAUAUUCAUGUUCUAACAUGUUCUCCAUGUCAGAGACACACUCCAUUGCCUCCCCAGUCACUCCAAGUGGAAAUAGCAUCUCCCCCUCUCACCCCAGAGCCAAGAUAGCUCCAAGUGGGGUUGAGGGGCAGUUUCCUCAUAAGUACUUCUUGGAUCUGUCUACCUCUCUGUAUCCCCAUUGUCACCUGCUCCUUCAAACUGCCAUUAUAACCUGCCUGGACCACAACAGGAGCCCUCCUUUCACUGCUCUUCCUACAUCCAUGCAUACCCCUUGCAUCUAUUCUUCCCUGUGUCAGGCGAGGGACCUUUUCAAAAUACUAAUUUUGGAGUUUCCAUUGUGGCACAGUGGAAAUGAAUCCAACUAGGAACCAUGAAGUUGUGUGUUAGAUCCUUGGCCUCGAUCAGUGGCUUAAGGAUCCGGUGCUGCCAUGAGCUGUGGUGUAGGUCUCAGAUGCAGCUCGAAUAUGGCAUUGCUGUGGCAUAGGCUGGCAGCUCUAGCUCCGAUUCGACUCCUAGCCUGGGAACUUCCAUAUG
Molecule: long non-coding RNA, 4863 nt
Filed under: Sus scrofa (pig)
Lineage: Eukaryota; Metazoa; Chordata; Mammalia; Artiodactyla; Suidae
Description: lncRNA (ENSSSCG00015024721.1)
Source: RNAcentral